Molecule: long non-coding RNA, 889 nt
Organism: Helianthus annuus (common sunflower)
Lineage: Eukaryota; Viridiplantae; Streptophyta; Magnoliopsida; Asterales; Asteraceae
Exons: 2
Source: RefSeq, a predicted model, not a curated record
CGGUCGCUCUAUCUUUCUUCUUGCCUCUACUCCAAUCCUCCCUCAUCCUCUAUGCAAAUCACAUCACCCGACUUCUUGCUUGAUUUCCCGUCUCAGAUUCUCAACACCUUAAACAUGAGGCCGAAGAUGGUAAAAAAAGAAGAGACAGAGAGUGGUGGAGUAAUAGAAGUCGGUCACGGUCUCCGGCUGGCUGUUCUAUUCCGACCAUUGGCAUCUACGGUGACAAGGAAAAAGAUGCGGUCUUGAGAAGAUGUGGAGACAGAAUCGCCGAUUAUUGUACUCUCUUGCUAAUGUAAGUCUACUUCAUUUUGUUAAUUCUUAUGAAUCUUUCAUUACAUAUUUCAAUUUGUUAAUUUCUUAUGUCGGACAUGGGAUUCUGUUUGUUUGAUCGAGGAUCAUGGACUCAAGCAUUUUCUUUAAUCGAGUUUAUAGGCAGUGAAGCUUCACUCGAGUUUAUAGAGCUCUAGAGUCGAAAUCACUCAAGCAGACAAGAGCAAUUCAGCAGUCAAAUUGUUACCAUGAACACGUGCACGAAACAACUUGUGAAGUAAGUUUUUCUUUAAAUCAAUUUAGAGUGGAUGAAUUUACAUGUCUUUUCACAUUAGUAAUCUUAGUAUAUAUGAAAAAAUUGCGCCUCAUAUGACCUUGAGAUGCAAGGCGACCGAAGAUGCGGGAAUGCCACACCAGGGGUGGUGAUGUGUAGUGUUUUUCAGAAGAUAGUGUUGAGAUUGUGAUUUAGGCUUGAGGUGCCCACAUUGCGUGAGUUGUUAUGCAAUAGAGAUAAAAGAAAAAGGGCUAGGAGAUGUGGAUUUUAUACACAGUCAUGACAUGUUAGUGUUGUAAACUGCUAUUAUGAGAUUUGAUUAAUUUUGCAUCCGUGUUUGUUCAA